This is a long non-coding RNA of Jaculus jaculus (lesser Egyptian jerboa), 1766 nucleotides long. RefSeq lists it as uncharacterized. The transcript is spliced from 2 exons. Lineage: Eukaryota; Metazoa; Chordata; Mammalia; Rodentia; Dipodidae. The record is from RefSeq and is a predicted model, not a curated record.
GGCUCGGGCGCUCCGACGGCGGCAGUCCUCGCGCCCCGGGUUCCGCGGGCCAGGAGAGAGCGUGGUUUCCAACCCAGGACGGUGCUUCCUUGUGUUCCGGAAAAGGAGAUUUCUCACAUUCACUCCGUUGGAAGGAAACCCAGGGCGACCCCGAGAACACUCCCACACUUGACUGACCAGACCCCUUGCACUGCAGAGGAAGCAGACACAACUGGAAGGGACGGGAUUUAUGUUGCAUACUUGAACUACAGCGAGUGUAAGACUGGUCCUAGUUACAGGGCAGAAACACUACAGGUGCAGGGUGGGGGCGGCAGAGGGAGCACCAGAGUCCUGGCUGGAAGGUGCCAGCUUUCUGCAUCCCUCACCUCUUCCCGAGGCAUCUCCACAGCCCCGCUGGGGUUCUCCGGCAGGGAGGGGACAGGCCUUCUCACAUGAUGCUUGCCGGAGUGAAGACAGGGCCCACACACAAGGUGUCUGUGAUCUCCCAGCCACAGGACAGAGGCUUGCACACGCCCUCGACAUCCUGGUCAUCUUCUGCAGACAGCAGCUUCCCUCGAAGUGCUUCCCUGAGGAAAAGAGACAUUCGCUGAAGUCAGCCAGCAAGAAGAUAAGGUCUGGGGCUUCCGAUGGCCCCUAAGGCACAGGGCUUUCACCUGAACCCUAAGACCAGCCAAGGGCAGUGACAAGAGAGGCCUGUGACCCUUGUCUAGGUUGCUGCUUCCCCUGCCUAGCAAGGGAAAGGCACACACAUAUAUUGAGGCAUUCUGUGUAUCAGACAUUGUGCCAGGCACUUUAGCCCCAUUAUCUACAUACAUCUUCCCCAAAGCAGGAGAUCUUACCAUCCCUCUUUUCCUGUAGGAAAAAACUGAGGCUCAGAAAGACUCAACUGGCCCAGCACUCCAUCGUUAGCAGGCAGGAAGGACUAGAACUGAGCCUAGCUUGUAUUCUCCAUUCCCCAGGUUUAAGGCUUAAAAAUUACCCAUCUCCUGCUCCCAAAGUCCUAUAGACUGGUUCUUCUCCUCUGUUCCCACCCUGGGUGGGGGAAAUGUGCAAGGGUCACUUGCCAAGAAGUCUAGAGGAGCCAUGCCAGCUUGCCCUUUACUUCUGCUGGGAUCUACUUACACAGAAGACACUCCUUCGUUAAUCCAGUUCUUCCCUUCACUCUUUCCAUAUUUCAAGCAGAUUCCAUUCCCUGGUAGGAAGGCCUCCCUCUUUGUUUAGUUAUACUCAGCAAGUCGGUAGUGGGUGGGAAGCUAGCCCCUUCUUCAUGGGAGGCUCUGGGCUUAGUGUUCUCUGGCUGAAAUUUGGUCUCCUUUCCUUAAACAUAGAUUGGCCCUGUUUCUUAGCCACUGCCCCAUGGCUCUCCCACUGCCUUCAAGGCCAAGUCCAAGUCUGGGACUCCAAGGUCCUAAACCCAGUCUUCCCCACAUACUCUUGCUUACCAGUGAACAGAACUACUUGCAAUUCUAUGAUAGAAUCCUUUCAAACUACCUCACUUCUUGACCAUCCUCUUGGCCAUCCUGGGCCUCCAGGGCCUGGCUGACUCCUGAGAAGUUGCCCUAACAGCCCCUUUGCAACCCACUGUCCCUCCCUUCCCUGGGGCCCAAGAUCUGAGCCCUAGUCUGUUGGUUCAGGUCUGCACUUUGGGCUAUCACUGCCUUACAGGCUUUUGUAUCCCUUGGAAUUGAUACAAGCAGGCAUUAAAGCAGAACAUGAUGGAAGACCCUUUGAUAAGGGCGGUUUCCUGACAUGUCCACAUCAAUAUA